This 119-nucleotide ribosomal RNA is filed under the name Pteropus alecto (black flying fox). The record is from RNAcentral. Lineage: Eukaryota; Metazoa; Chordata; Mammalia; Chiroptera; Pteropodidae.
GUCUACGGCAUUGCUACCCUGAAGAAGCCCGAUCCCGUCUGAUCUUGGAAGCUAAGCAGGGUCAGGCCUGGUUAGUACUUGGAUAGGAGAACACUUAGGAAGACUGGGUGCUGUAGGCG